This 459-nucleotide ribosomal RNA is filed under the name uncultured Nitrosomonadales bacterium. Its description in RNAcentral is "bacterial SSU rRNA". It matches the Rfam family "Bacterial small subunit ribosomal RNA", at positions 341 to 792 of the family's 1533-position model. The record is from RNAcentral. Lineage: Bacteria; Pseudomonadati; Pseudomonadota; Betaproteobacteria; Nitrosomonadales.
ACGGGAGGCAGCAGUGGGGAAUUUUGGACAAUGGGCGCAAGCCUGAUCCAGCCAUGCCGCGUGAGUGAAGAAGGCCUUCGGGUUGUAAAGCUCUUUCGGUCGGGAAGAAAUAGUUAUGGCUAAUAUCCAUAAUGAAUGACGGUACCGACAUAAGAAGCACCGGCUAACUACGUGCCAGCAGCCGCGGUAAUACGUAGGGUGCAAGCGUUAAUCGGAAUUAUUGGGCGUAAAGGGUGCGCAGGCGGAUGUAUAAGUCAGAUGUGAAAUCCCUGGGCUUAACCUAGGAAUUGCGUUUGAAACUAUAUGACUAGAGUGUGAUAGAGGGGAGUGGAAUUCCAUGUGUAGCAGUGAAAUGCGUAGAGAUGUGGAAGAACACCGAUGGCGAAGGCAGCUCCCUGGAUUAACACUGACGCUCAUGCACGAAAGCGUGGGGAGCAAACAGGAUUAGAUACCCUGGUA